RNAcentral lists this ribosomal RNA (589 nucleotides) under Salmonella enterica subsp. enterica. Its description in RNAcentral is "bacterial LSU rRNA". It matches the Rfam family "Bacterial large subunit ribosomal RNA", at positions 440 to 932 of the family's 2925-position model. Lineage: Bacteria; Pseudomonadati; Pseudomonadota; Gammaproteobacteria; Enterobacterales; Enterobacteriaceae. The record is from RNAcentral.
GAAUAUGGGGGGACCAUCCUCCAAGGCUAAAUACUCCUGACUGACCGAUAGUGAACCAGUACCGUGAGGGAAAGGCGAAAAGAACCCCGGCGAGGGGAGUGAAAAAGAACCUGAAACCGUGUACGUACAAGCAGUGGGAGCCCCACCACUAAGCCAGUGGUGAACUCCACAUACGCAUCCUUUGCUGAGGAUACGGUUAACGGAGCGAAAGCGACGUUCAACCUCAAAAGAAGCAGAGGGGGCUUAGUGGUGGGGUGACUGCGUACCUUUUGUAUAAUGGGUCAGCGACUUAUAUUCUGUAGCAAGGUUAACCGMAUAGGGGAGCCGGAGGGAAACCGAGUCUUAAUUGGGCGUUAAGUUGCAGGGUAUAGACCCGAAACCCGGUGAUCUAGCCAUGGGCAGGUUGAAGGUUGGGUAACACUAACUGGAGGACCGAACCGACUAAUGUUGAAAAAUUAGCGGAUGACCUGUGGCUGGGGGUGAAAGGCCAAUCAAACCGGGAGAUAGCUGGUUCUCCCCGAAAGCUAUUUAGGUAGCGCCUCGUGAAYUCAUCUCCGGGGUAGAGCACUGUUUCGGCUAGGGGGCCAUC